CACUUGCGCGACUCGCUCCUUUCUUUUCAGGCUUAGCUACUGCUCAUGCGUCUGGCCCUCUUGAGGUUCCCGGCGUGCCCCGCAACAGCUUCCGGCGUGCUCCGCAACGGCUUCCGGCAUGACGCAGUAGAGAAGAUGGCGUGGUAGGCGCGUCGUGCCCCUGAGGGCUUUUUCUGAUACAAGAAAAUGACAGCAGUUAACACACCAAGCAGUCUCCCCACUCCCUCUGUCUCCCUUCCUCUCACGUCCUUCCAGCUUCUCUGAACAACUGAACACAUCCACCUGGACCUGGAGGGAAGAUGGAUCCUUACCCAGCGAGAUGUGUCUGUUCUUCCUCUGCGUGGCACCCCUGUAGAGGGCCUUUCGUGCAGGGCCUGGGCACAUCCAUUCUUGCUGACAGAGGGAUACAGCUCUGUUGUCACACGUGGCUGGUCCCUGUAACAACACUGGAGCUGGCUACCGGUAAAAUAGCACCACUCUAGCCUGGGGUGGGGGCAGAGACAGGAUCACAGUUGUCAGAUCAGGGGCAAGGCAAAGGCAGGGGAGGUCAGCCCCCAGGGACAGGUUCUGAGCCGUGUGAUGAUGUCAGAGUGGACACAAUCAAAAUAACCCGAGAAGCCCCGUGGACCACACAGAAUCCUUCUCAUGUCUCUGGAAAUGAGGGUUUUGGGGUGAGAGUGGGUAAUCAGGAGACAGAACGCAUCAACCACAGCUCACCUGGGACCCAGCUGUCCAGACCACAGCACCUGUCUCCUGGUCGUGGAGACCUGUGUUUUGGGGCAGGUUCCUGGGAGCCUGAGGAGCAAGCCAGGCUGGGGGAAAAAACAGCCGCUAUUAGAGGGCGGCUUCCACACAACAGCACAAAGCAGAAGCUCUCAAAGUGGGCUCCUGGGCCAGCUGCAUCAGCAGCCCCUGGCAACCCAUCAGAAAUACAAAUCCUGGGGCCCCACCUCAGAUCUUCUAAAUCAGAAAUUCUGAAGGUGGGGCCUGGGACUCUCCCACCCUGGAUGAGUCUGAGGCAAACUCAAGUUUGAGAACCACUGCCAGAGCACACGGCCUCUGUGAGUUGAGAAGUUCCUUUCAUGAGAUUCCUCUUGGCAUAAGAGCUUUAAUUUUUUUUUUUUUUUCAUUUUAAAGAAAAAGAUACAUGUCAGGGAAAAAAAGAGAAUCAUAGUGGGAAAACAAAAAUAUCUCCAUAGCCCUGCCACCCAAAGAUAACCACAGUACUCUUUAAAAUACCACAGUAACAGAAACCUUUUAUAUUUUUCAGACCAAGAUAAUACAUUUUUUUCUCAAGUCUCCAACUUCAAGAAUUAUACAAAUAUGACUGUGACAUUGCUUAAAAAUAUAGGAAAAAUUUUUUAAAAAUUGUACAAUCCCAGCACUUUGGGAGGCCGAGGCAGGCAGAUCACGAGGU
Molecule: non-coding RNA, 1417 nt
Organism: Macaca mulatta (Rhesus monkey)
Lineage: Eukaryota; Metazoa; Chordata; Mammalia; Primates; Cercopithecidae
Source: RefSeq, a predicted model, not a curated record